Molecule: ribosomal RNA, 430 nt
Filed under: bacterium
Lineage: Bacteria
Description: partial 16S ribosomal RNA
Rfam family: Bacterial small subunit ribosomal RNA
Source: RNAcentral
UGGGGAAUCUUGCGCAAUGGGGGAAACCCUGACGCAGCGACGCCGCGUGGGUGAUGAAGGCCUUCGGGUCGUAAAGCCCUGUCAGGUGGGAAGAAACGUAUCGAUGCUAAUAUCAUCGAUACUUGACGGUACCACCGGAGGAAGCACCGGCUAACUCCGUGCCAGCAGCCGCGGUAAUACGGAGGGUGCAAGCGUUGUUCGGAAUUACUGGGCGUAAAGCGCGUGUAGGCGGUUGGGUAAGUCAGAUGUGAAAGCCUUCCGCUCAACGGAAGAAGGGCAUUUGAAACUACCUGGCUGGAGUACGGGAGAGGAGAGUGGAAUUCCCGGUGUAGAGGUGAAAUUCGUAGAUAUCGGGAGGAACACCAGUGGCGAAGGCGGCUCUCUGGUCCGAUACUGACGCUGAGACGCGAAAGCGUGGGGAGCAAACAGG